AAGGGACAGUGUGCUGCGCGCGGUUCUUGCUUACAAGCGUUAACCCCAAAAGCGACCAGUGCAGGCCGUUCUUCUCUUGCACUUUCUAAAAUCUGAAGUAUAAAUAUACGCUACAGGAAAGUGCCUAGGGUACCCCUCGAAUGCUCGCAUCCGAGCUGCCCUGCAGCGACGCCCCCAGGGAGGAGCGGAGCGCCCAUCCGGGAAUCUAGGGCGGACGAGGCCCUAACGUUUCUCUUAGGAGCGCACCUCCCCUGUUGAUGGGAGCGGCAGCGGACGCGUUCGGGGCAUCCGGCCCCGCCGGGGCCGUGCUCUCCGCCGAGUGGCUGCAGUAAUGCCCUGGACACCUCAGUAAACAGGGAUCCUUACCUUCCUACUUUGAAGCGAGGACCCUGAGCUCCGAAAGGAGCUCCGCCCACCAGCUCUCCCGCAGGACCGGCUGCCUGGUUGGUGGUCUUCCCGCCCCUCCAGCAGAGAACCCGCACCUGCUUCCCUCCUGAGCCCCCAACACGGAGAGCCAAUACGAAUAGUCACUGCAUGCAGGCUGCUCCGCUGUCUGUAAAGUGAUGUCACAGACAGGUAUCAUCACCUCCAGUUACAAAUGUGGAAGGGGAGGACCAAAGAGGAAGGCGUAAGGAGCCCCUGGAACCGCCGUUCUGGCCCUAUGUCCUGCGCGUUAUCACCCCGCUGCCCCGCUUCUGCUCCCCACGUGGGGCUUCUUAGAGUCGGAGGUGGUCAUGGCCACCUCCCCCCCAACCCAGGCCCUGGGUAGAAUAACAUGCAGUCUCCUAAUUCCAAUUAAAAACGGGAACUCUGACACAGGAAACUCUGCAAAGGAAAGGACAGAACACUGGAAAUGCCCGGAUAAGUAAGGUGCGUGGUUGUCGCAGACACAGGAGCCAAAGACUGACAGCGGGUCCGAAGCCACCCUCUCGAGGAUACAAGGGCGGCAAAGUCCCGGUCUGGCCCCAGCAUGGUGCGGUGUGGAUCUCUGUGCCCAGGAGACCUACUCACUGUGGGCCUGGUGCUCCGGAGCCUGAGGCAGUGACUAUGAAGGUCACCAAACCAGGAAGAAAAACGCGCAUCUGCACCCACCUGCCGCCCCGGUUCUGCCUCGCAAUGGGCCUUUUCAAACCUCUCUGAGGCACAGUCAGAACUUCUGAAACCCAGCCCUGGUUUAAGACUCAGAGCUGGCUUCCCAUUGCCCGCGGUCCAAAUCCCAACUUUGCCAGCUGAGUUUACGGGACCAGCCUUACCCUCUAGCCUAGCACCACCCCCAACCUGCGCACCCCAGGUCCCAGCCGCAAAUGAAAAGUACUUCCAGAGCUCCAGCCCUCCAGGUGGAGCAGGAGCUCCUGACCCAGAACUCAGAACUCAACCAGGCUCAGAAAAAUCACAGAUGGAAGAGAGAAUAAAAACUACAGAGAAAAGAAAAACAUGUUGGAGAUUUUUUUAAAAACAUCAACUGCGUUUUGGCCAAGGGGAGCUAAUUGGUAAACGAAACUGUUUCCGUGAACGAUUUUUAUAAGCACAUUUCCCGAGGCUGUUCCAUCAACCAGACAACGUGAGCCACCCUGGGCACCCUCCCUGCUCAACCAGGUCCCUCCUCCGGGCUCUCCUCUGUAGGGCACCCCUCCCCCAGCCCAGCCGACAGUCCUUCUUCCUCUGAUCCCCAAACUCUGUCUUCCUGGCUCCAUUUUCCUGGCCUGCAUCUUCUCCCUGUGUCUCCUGGUUGAGCUGGGUUGGGGUCCUCAUCACAGUGCUCUUGGCAGGCGGCCGGGGAGGAGAAGAGGAAGAGGUGCACCUCCGCGUUCAGUUGUCCAGUAAGUUUGUUAUUCACGACCAGCCUGCGAAGUGGUGCCUUUCUUCCUUUUCGUAAUGAAGAAACAGAGGCUGGGAGAGGUUGAGAAGCCACAGGCAGUAGGCACGACUGUGGAAGUCAGUACUGGCUCAAGGCAGAGGCCUGCACUCCCAACCACCGGAUUACAUGAACUUGAAGCUUUCGAAAAGCCAUACUUACUCACCCGAUGAUAAGUAUUUCGUCAGAGACAGUGGACCGUCAAACUCAAGAGGGCAUGCCAGGAGGCGGCAGAGGAACAGCCCACGUGGCAGAAACGCUGCGGUGCUCCCCACAGUGGGCAGCAGCUGGGUGGAGAGCACUGGCCCUUUAAUGGCCGAGCCCACAGCUUUGGAUUCCGAUGGCAGUUGAUGAGGGUCUUGGAAGACGAGGGAGGGACACAGGGGAUGCCUAGCACCCAGGGCUGCCGGGAGCUGCUCACCAGAUCUCCAGACUGGACAGCCCCCUCUACUGGACCACCAUUCCAGGGGCUGCUGACACUGCCCGAACACCCCGAGGCUCCCACCAGCCCAGGCUCUGCUCUCCCUUCCCCACGUCUCCUCACGGACAGUGGGCCCUCAGCUAACCCGACUCAGGUGGCCGCUCUCAGCCCCGGUGUCCAGAGAGCUAUUUCUGGUCCUACCUUUGCCACCAUCCCUGUCUGUCUUCCCUGGCCUCAGCUUCCCAGGUGCGGGAAAGCAGGUUAGACAGGAAGAACGCGUCAGCUCUUGUCAUCGGCUGCGGGAUUCUCCGAAUUUGAAUCUUCUCCUCCCAUGGCCUCUGCCCAGUGCGGAUCCCUCCCCCAUGGACCUGACCCUGUCCCUUCGCUUCCUUCCCCCCACCCGCC
This is a long non-coding RNA of Pteropus alecto (black flying fox), 2681 nucleotides long. RefSeq lists it as uncharacterized. The record is from RefSeq and is a predicted model, not a curated record. The transcript is spliced from 4 exons. NCBI's taxonomy places the organism in Eukaryota, Metazoa, Chordata, Mammalia, Chiroptera, Pteropodidae.